Molecule: ribosomal RNA, 253 nt
Filed under: uncultured bacterium
Lineage: Bacteria
Description: partial 16S ribosomal RNA
Rfam family: Bacterial small subunit ribosomal RNA
Source: RNAcentral
UACGUAGGGUGCGAGCGUUGUCCGGAAUUAUUGGGCGUAAAGAGCUCGUAGGCGGUCUGUCGCGUCUGCUGUGAAAUCCCGAGGCUCAACCUCGGGCCUGCAGUGGGUACGGGCAGACUAGAGUGCGGUAGGGGAGAUUGGAAUUCCUGGUGUAGCGGUGGAAUGCGCAGAUAUCAGGAGGAACACCGAUGGCGAAGGCAGAUCUCUGGGCCGUAACUGACGCUGAGGAGCGAAAGUGUGGGGAGCGAACAGG